GGCUGUAGCCAGAGCUGCAGGUCUCGUCUUCCCUGGUUUGUGUCCUCUUCUCCUAGGGGCCCAGCCUCUGGCCCUGUGACCUGCAGGUAUUGGGAGAUCACCAGCUAAGGCGCCAGGGCCCCCUGGAAGCCUAGAAAUGAUGGAGUCUUGCUCUGUUGCCAGACUGGAGUGCAGUGGCACGAUCUCGGCUCUCUGCAACCUCUGCCUCCCAGGUUCAAGCAAUUCUCCUGCCUCAGCCUCCUGAGUAGCUGGGAUUACAGCAUUCUUUCAAGUGCACAAAAUGUGCCCAAGGCUACUCCUUAGGUGCCUGAAUCCAAUGUCUACUGAAAUUCAGAUGUCCAAGAAUUUAAGAACACGUCCAGAAAACCUGGCUGUUGUAGAAAAAAAUGUAAAUUAGAAAUGAAAAGCUUUAUC
Molecule: long non-coding RNA, 414 nt
Organism: Symphalangus syndactylus (siamang)
Lineage: Eukaryota; Metazoa; Chordata; Mammalia; Primates; Hylobatidae
Source: RefSeq, a predicted model, not a curated record